GUAGGGUGCGAGCGUUGUCCGGAAUUAUUGGGCGUAAAGGGCUCGUAGGCGGUCUGUUGCGUCGGGAGUGAAAACUCAGGGCUUAACCCUGAGCCUGCUUCCGAUACGGGCAGACUAGAGGUAUGCAGGGGAGAACGGAAUUCCUGGUGUAGCGGUGAAAUGCGCAGAUAUCAGGAGGAACACCGGUGGCGAAGGCGGUUCUCUGGGCAUUACCUGACGCUGAGGAGCGAAAGUGUGGGGAGCGAACAGG
This 250-nucleotide ribosomal RNA is filed under the name uncultured bacterium. RNAcentral describes it as "partial 16S ribosomal RNA". It matches the Rfam family "Bacterial small subunit ribosomal RNA", at positions 527 to 776 of the family's 1533-position model. The record is from RNAcentral.